This 250-nucleotide ribosomal RNA is filed under the name uncultured bacterium. RNAcentral's name for it is "partial 16S ribosomal RNA". It matches the Rfam family "Bacterial small subunit ribosomal RNA", at positions 527 to 776 of the family's 1533-position model. The record is from RNAcentral.
UACGGGGGCGAGCGUUGUUCGGAUUUACUGUGCGUAAAGGGCGCGCAGGCGGCGCAUUUUGUCAGGCGUGAAAGCCCCGGGCUUAACCUGGGAACUGCGUUUGAUACGGAUGGGCUAGAGUUCGGGAGAGGAGAGUGGAAUUCCCAGUGUAGAGGUGAAAUUCGUAGAUAUUCGCAAGAACACCAGUGGCGAAGGCGGCUCACUGGCCCGGUACUGACGCUGAGGUGCGAAAGCGUGGGGAGCAAACAGG